This 367-nucleotide ribosomal RNA is filed under the name uncultured bacterium. Its description in RNAcentral is "bacterial SSU rRNA". It matches the Rfam family "Bacterial small subunit ribosomal RNA", at positions 28 to 419 of the family's 1533-position model. The record is from RNAcentral.
GAUAAACGCUGGCGGCGUGCCUAACACAUGCAAGUCGAACGCCCUGGAGCAAUUCAGGGAGUGGCGGACGGGUGAGGAACACGUGGGUGAUCUGCCUUGAGGUGAGGAAUACCGGCGAGAAAUCGCCGACAAUACCGCAUAGGUUCGUAAGAACAAAGUCGCAAGACGCCUUGAGAUGAGCCUGCGUCCGAUUAGCCAGUUGGUGGGGUAAUGGCCUACCAAAGCAGCGAUCGGUGGCUGGUCUGAGAGGACGAUCAGCCACACUGGGAUUGAGAACGGCCCAGACUCCUACGGGGGCAGCAGUGAGGAAUCUUGCGCAAUGGGCGAAAGCCUGACGCAGCGACGCCGCGUGAGGAUGACGCCUGGU